UGACUCUAACCUUCGUGGGCUCCAGUC
RNAcentral lists this small RNA (27 nucleotides) under Bombyx mori (domestic silkworm). RNAcentral's name for it is "ovarian small RNA-31926". The record is from RNAcentral. Lineage: Eukaryota; Metazoa; Arthropoda; Insecta; Lepidoptera; Bombycidae.